Molecule: ribosomal RNA, 230 nt
Filed under: uncultured bacterium
Lineage: Bacteria
Description: partial 16S ribosomal RNA
Rfam family: Bacterial small subunit ribosomal RNA
Source: RNAcentral
GACGAACGCUGGCGGCGCGCUUAACACAUGCAAGUCGAGCGAGAACCAUGCCUUCGGGCAUGGGGACAGCGGCGAACGGGUGAGUAACACGUGGGUAAUCUGCCCUUGACAUCGGGAUAGCCCGGGGAAACCCGGAUUAAUACCGAAUAGCCUCCGAAGCCCUCGGGCGUCGGAGAAAGGUAGCUUCGGCCUCUGGUCAAGGAUGAGCCCGCGGCGGAUUAGCUUGUUGG